CUACGGGAGGCAGCAGUGGGGAAUUUUCCGCAAUGGGCGAAAGCCUGACGGAGCAAUACCGCGUGAGGGAAGACGGCCUAUGGGUUGUAAACCUCUUUUUUCAGGGAGGAAUAAAAUGACGUGUACCUGAAGAAUAAGCAUCGGCUAACUCCGUGCCAGCAGCCGCGGUAAGACGGAGGAUGCAAGUGUUAUCCGGAAUCACUGGGCGUAAAGCGUCUGUAGGUGGUUUAAUAAGUCAACUGUUAAAUCUUGAGGCUCAACUUCGAAAUCGCAGUCGAAACUAUUAGACUAGAGUAUAGUAGAGGUAAAGGGAAUUUCCAGUGGAGCGGUGAAAUGCGUAGAGAUUGGAAAGAACACCGAUGGCGAAAGCACUUUACUGGGCUAUUACUAACACUCAGAGACGAAAGCUAGGGUAGCAAAUGGGAUUAGAUACCCCAGUAGUCCUAGCCGUAAACAAUGGAUACUAGAUGUUGAACAGAUCGACCUGUGCAGUAUCAAAGCUAACGCGUUAAGUAUCCCGCCUGGGAAGUAUGCUCGCAAGAGUGAAACUCAAAU
Molecule: ribosomal RNA, 555 nt
Filed under: uncultured bacterium
Lineage: Bacteria
Description: bacterial SSU rRNA
Rfam family: Bacterial small subunit ribosomal RNA
Source: RNAcentral